Molecule: signal recognition particle RNA, 221 nt
Filed under: Chloroflexota bacterium
Lineage: Bacteria; Bacillati; Chloroflexota
Description: Chloroflexi bacterium (groundwater metagenome) signal recognition particle sRNA large type
Rfam family: Bacterial large signal recognition particle RNA
About the family: The signal recognition particle (SRP) is a universally conserved ribonucleoprotein involved in the co-translational targeting of proteins to membranes. Archaeal SRP consists of a 7S RNA and homologues of the eukaryotic SRP19 and SRP54 proteins.
Source: RNAcentral
CCGUGCUAGGCGGGGAGCUAGCGGUGCCCUGUACCCGCGAUCCGCUACAGCGGGGCUGAACUCCCGCCCGCGACCCAAUCCUCGGGGGACUGCGGCGUCGAUCUGGCGAUGAAGGACGGGUCCUGCGCGGCGGAAGCCCACGAACCCCGUCAGGUUCGGAAGAAAGCAGCGGUAAGUGGUGCGUCGUAAGCUGCGGGGUAGGGCCAACGGCGGGUGCACGG